Molecule: ribosomal RNA, 463 nt
Filed under: uncultured Desulfobulbus sp.
Lineage: Bacteria; Pseudomonadati; Thermodesulfobacteriota; Desulfobulbia; Desulfobulbales; Desulfobulbaceae
Description: bacterial SSU rRNA
Rfam family: Bacterial small subunit ribosomal RNA
Source: RNAcentral
GACAAGCGGUGGAGUAUGUGGUUUAAUUCGAUGCAACGCGAAGAACCUUACCUGGUCUUGACAUCCCGGAGACCCUUAGGAAACUAGGGGUGCUUCCAUCUGGAAGAAUCUGGAGACAGGUGCUGCAUGGCUGUCGUCAGCUCGUGUCGUGAGAUGUUGGGUUAAGUCCCGCAACGAGCGCAACCCUUGCCUUUAGUUGCCAGCAGUUCGGCUGGGCACUCUAAAGGGACUGCCGGUGUUAAACCGGAGGAAGGUGGGGAUGACGUCAAGUCCUCAUGGCCUUUAUGACCAGGGCUACACACGUACUACAAUGGCCGAUACAAAGGGCAGCGACACUGCGAGGUGAAGCCAAUCCCGUAAAAUCGGUCUCAGUCCGGAUUGGAGUCUGCAACUCGACUCCAUGAAGUUGGAAUCGCUAGUAAUCGUGGAUCAGCAUGCCACGGUGAAUACGUUCCCGGGCCUU